This 76-nucleotide transfer RNA is filed under the name Penicillium egyptiacum. RNAcentral's name for it is "tRNA-Glu". It matches the Rfam family "tRNA". Rfam says of the family: Transfer RNA (tRNA) molecules are approximately 80 nucleotides in length. Their secondary structure includes four short double-helical elements and three loops (D, anti-codon, and T loops). Further hydrogen bonds mediate the characteristic L-shaped molecular structure. tRNAs have two regions of fundamental functional importance: the anti-codon, which is responsible for specific mRNA codon recognition, and the 3' end, to which the tRNAs corresponding amino acid is attached (by aminoacyl-tRNA synthetases). tRNAs cope with the degeneracy of the genetic code in two manners: having more than one tRNA (with a specific anti-codon) for a particular amino acid; and 'wobble' base-pairing, i.e. permitting non-standard base-pairing at the 3rd anti-codon position. Lineage: Eukaryota; Fungi; Ascomycota; Eurotiomycetes; Eurotiales; Aspergillaceae. The record is from RNAcentral.
CAAUCCGAUGUAGUGUAGGGGUUAUCACUGUGCUCUUUCACAGCACUAACGGGGGUUCGAAUCCCCCCAUCGGAGG